UUUCAGCUAUUUUUGGAUCACUUCCAGUUCCUGGUAUCUUCACUCUCUUUUUGUACAGCCAAGAGCCAACUAUAAUUUUCCAUUUGGACCAAAAAAUAAAAAAUAAUAAUUAACCAAGUCCAGGUAAGCCCAAACCUAUAAAUUUACGAGUAUGGACUUGCAUAAACGAACGGUCCAACGAAGAACGGCAUGGUGAUGUUUGUACCACUGCAACACAUUGUGAAUCGCUAUUGCCAAAAUUUUCAGCUUCUCAAUCUCUUUCUGAAACCAAAAAGCUGCACGCCCUCAUCCUCAUCCUUGGUGUUUUCUCCUCCUCCUUUAACCUUUGCUCUAAGCUUGUCACAUCAUACGCGCUAUGCCGCCACCCGUCCUAUGCAUCCCACCUGUUUGAUAAGUUGCCUCAGCCAAGCUUGCUCUCCUGGAACGCUAUGAUGAGGUUGUAUGUCCAAAUGGGGCACCCCCUUGAUGUCCUCAACUUGUUUGUUUAAAUGCUCGGGACGGGUCGGACCCUGCCUGACAAAUUCACAUACCCGGUUGUUAUCAAGGCUUGUGGUGACUUGUCUUUGAUUGAUGUGGGCGUUGGAAUUCAUGGGCAGACCUUUAAGUUUGGCUAUGAUUCCGACACAUUUGUUCAAAACACUUUGUUGGCAAUGUAUAUGAAUGCCGGGGAGAAGGAAGCAGCACAACUGGUUUUUGACUUGAUGCUGGAACGGACUGUGAUUUCUUGGAAUACCAUGAUUAACGGGUACUUUUGGAAUAACUGUGUAGAAGAUGCAGUAAAGGUUUAUGGUAGAAUGAUGGAUGUGGGUGUCGAGCCUAAUUGUGCAACUGUGGUUUCGGUGUUGCCUGCUUGUGGGCUUUUGAAAAAUGUGGAGCUUGGCAGAGACGUUCAUGCAUUAGUUCAGGAGAAAGGAUUUUGGGGAGAUAUUGUAGUUUGGAGUGCAUUGCCGGACAUGUAUGUUAAGUGUGGUCAGAUGAAGGAAGCAUGGUUGCUAGCGAAGGGGAUGGAUGAGAAAGAUGUGGUUACAUGGACUACUUUGAUUAAUGGAUAAUUUUGAAUGGGGAUGCUAGAAGUGCUUUGAUGCUUUGUCGGAUGAGGCAGUGUGAAGGAGUGAAACCAAAUUCGGUAAGCAUAGCUUCUUUACUAUCAGCAUGUGGCAGUUUGGUUUAUUUGAACUAUGGCAAGUGCCUGCAUGCAUGGGCAAUAAGGCAAAAGCUCGAGUCUGAGGUCAUUGUGGAAACUGCCUUGAUUGAUAUGUAUGCCAAAUGUAAUCAUGGCAACCUCAGUUAUAAAGUGUUUAUGGGAACCUCUAAGAAGAGAACGGCCCCAUGGAAUGCUCUUCUAUCUGGGUUCAUACAAAAUAAGCUUGCAAGAGAGGCAAUAGAACUCUUUAAGCAAAUGUUAGUGAAAGAUGUACAACCUGACCAUGUGAGCUUUAAUAGUCUUCUCCCUGUAUAUUCUAUUCUUGCUGAUCUCCAACAGGCAAUGAACAUACAUUGUUACGUUAUAAGAUCAGGUUUUCUUUACAGACUUGAAGUAGCAAGUAUUCUAGUUGAUAUAUACUCAAAGGGUGGAAGUUUAGGAUAUGCUCACCAGAUUUUUAAUAUAAUUCCUCUGAAGGACAAGGAUAUUAUUAUUUGAAGUGCAACAAUUGCUGCUUAUGGAAAGCAUGGACAUGGCAAAAUGGCUGUGAAACUUUUCAAUCAGUUGGUACAAUCUGGAGUAAAACCAAAUCAUGCCACCUUCACCUCUGUUCUGCAUGCUUGCAGCCAUGCAGGUUUGGUUGACGAGGGUUUUUCUUUGUUCAACUUUAUGCUCAAGCAACAUCAAGUUAUUCCCCAUGUUGAUCAUUAUACUUGCAUUGUUGAUCUUCUUGGACGUACUGGUAGACUGAAUGAUGCUUAUAACCCUAUUAGAACAAUGCCUAUAACACCUAACCAUGCCGUAUGGGGUGCACUACUUGGUGCUUGUGUGAUUCAUGAGAAUGUUGAACUGGGAGAGGUGGCUGCUAGGUGGACUUUUGAGCUUGAGCCUGAAAAUACUGGAAAUUAUGUUUUGUUGGCAAAACUUUAUGCUACUGUAGGAAGGUGGGGAGAUGCAGAGAAGAUUAGAGAUAUGGUAAAUGAGGUAGGAUUAAGAAAACUACCUGCUCACAGUUUAGUUGAGGUCAGAGAUAUGUAAAUUGAAUAGAUUACAAUGUCAGCUUAACAACAUCUGCCACAAACAUUAAAAUUCUAUCCAAAAUGAGAGUCAUUAUUGCAGUAGUCAUGGAAGACCCUAUAAAAUGUGAAAGGUAUUUCCUUUAGAGGGGAAGUGCCUACCUUUUUCCGUUAUUUUAAUCAUGACGGAGGGAAAUGCCUUUGCUUCAAUAAUGUUGGUUGGCAUGCAUAGAGUUCAAGGCAGAGAUUUUGGCUCCAAUUUCCUUGAUACACUUCUGUUGAUGCUCAAUUGCCAAUACCAAUCAGUGCCUAAUGUCUGCGGCUUUUCACACACAUUCCUUGGUACUCCAUGUUUGUGGUUUUACUGAGACGGAUUUUUUAGUAUUCAGGAUAUUGCCUUUUCCUAUGGUUGUCUGGUUGUUGUUGAUCCCUUAUACUGGCCACGCAGCUACUUAUUCUCCCAUUUUCUUGCAAGAUGGCAAUGAUUGCAUAUUGACUAUGAGGGAAAGAAACAGAGCAGAACUAGGUCGGUACUACCUAUUCUUAUAGACUUAUACUUUAUGCAGUCGCUUGUUAGCUAUGUUGAGCAUAAUGACUUCACUUACUGGUGAUGCGCUUGUCCUUAUAUCUUGAGCUCGUGCUUACGUUUUGAUGUAAUCCAUAAUCUUUUUAAAAUUUCAUUGGUUUAUCAAUUGUAAAAAAAUAUUGUCAACCUACUAUUCAUUUUUUGUUAAUUAAUGGAGUUAAAUUAUUUA
Glycine soja is the source of this 2915-nucleotide long non-coding RNA. RefSeq lists it as uncharacterized. The record is from RefSeq and is a predicted model, not a curated record. NCBI's taxonomy places the organism in Eukaryota, Viridiplantae, Streptophyta, Magnoliopsida, Fabales, Fabaceae. The transcript is spliced from 2 exons.